This 460-nucleotide ribosomal RNA is filed under the name uncultured bacterium. Its description in RNAcentral is "partial 16S ribosomal RNA". It matches the Rfam family "Bacterial small subunit ribosomal RNA", at positions 338 to 795 of the family's 1533-position model. The record is from RNAcentral.
CCUACGGGGGGCAGCAGUGAGGAAUAUUGGUCAAUGGCCGGAAGGCUGAACCAGCCAUGCCGCGUGUAGGUCAGUGCCCUUUGGGCGUUAAACUUCUUUUGUGCGGGAGCAAUAAUGGUCACGUGUGGCCAGACGAGAGUACCGUACGAAUAAGCAUCGGCUAACUCCGGGCCAGCAGCCGCGGUCAUACGGGGGAUGCAAGCGUUAUCCGGAUUUAUGGGGUUUAAAGGGUGCGUAGGCUGUGAGGUAAGUCAGCGGUGAAAUGCCCCCGCUCAACGGGGUGAAGUGCCAUUGAUACUGCAUUGCUGGAAUGCGGAUGCCGUGGGAGGAAUGUGUGGUGUAGCGGUGAAAUGCAUAGAUAUCACACAGAACACCGAUUGCGAAGGCAUCUCACGAAUCCGCGAUUGACGCUGAUGCACGAAAGCGUGGGUAUCAAACAGGAUUAGAUACCCCAGUAGUC